CUGAGCGGCGGACGGGUGAGUAACGCGUGGGUAACCUGCCUCACACAGGGGGAUAACAGUUAGAAAUGACUGCUAAUACCGCAUAAGACCACAGCACCGCAUGGUGCAGGGGUAAAAACUCCGGUGGUGUGAGAUGGACCCGCGUCUGAUUAGCUAGAUGGCGGGGUAACGGCCCACCAUGGCGACGAUCAGUAGCCGGUCUGAGAGGAUGAACGGCCACAUUGGGACUGAGAUACGGCCCAGACUCCUACGGGAGGCAGCAGUGGGGAAUAUUGGGCAAUGGGGGAAACCCUGACCCAGCAACGCCGCGUGAAGGAAGAAGGCCUUCGGGUUGUAAACUUCUUUUAGCAGGGACGAAGAACGUGACGGUACCUGCAGAAAAAGCAACGGCUAACUACAUGCCAGCAGCCGCGGUAAUACGUAGGUUGCAAGCGUUGUCCGGAUUUACUGGGCGUAAAGGGCGUGUAGGCGGAGAUGCAAGUUGGGAGUGAAAUCCCGGGGCUCAACCCCGGAACUGCUUUCAAAACUGCAUCCCUUGAGUAUCGGAGAGGCAAGCGGAAUUCCUAGUGUAGCGGUGAAAUGCGUAGAUAUUAGGAGGAACACCAGUGGCGAAGGCGGCUUGCUGGACGACAACUGACGCUGAGGCGCGAAAGCGUGGGGAGCGAACAGGAUUAGAUACCCUGGUAGUCCACGCGGUAAACGAUGAAUGCUAGGUGUAGGGGGUAUCGACCCCUCCUGUGCCGGAGUAAACACAAUAAGCAUUCCGCCUGGGGAGUACGGCCGCAAGGUUGAAACUCAAAGGAAUUGACGGGGGCCCGCACAAGCAGCGGAGCAUGUGGUUUAAUUCGACGCAACGCGAAGAACCUUACCAGGUCUUGACAUCCAAUUAAAGUCAUAGAGAUAUGAUGUGUCUUCGGACGAAUUGAGACAGGUGGUGCAUGGUUGUCGUCAGCUCGUGUUGUGAGAUGUUGGGUUAAGUCCCGCAACGAGCGCAACCCUUAUUGUCAGUUACUAACAGGUAGUGCUGAGGACUCUGACGAGACUGCCGGGGACAACUCGGAGGAAGGUGGGGACGACGUCAAAUCAUCAUGCCCCUUAUGACCUGGGCUACACACGUGCUACAAUGGUGGUAACAAAGAGGAGCGAACCUGUAAGGGCAAGCGGAUCUCAAAAAAGCCAUCUCAGUUCGGAUUGUGGGCUGCAACCCGCCCACAUGAAGUUGGAGUUGCUAGUAAUCGCGAAUCAGAAUGUCGCGGUGAAUACGUUCCCGGGCCUU
This 1276-nucleotide ribosomal RNA is filed under the name uncultured bacterium. RNAcentral's name for it is "partial 16S ribosomal RNA". It matches the Rfam family "Bacterial small subunit ribosomal RNA", at positions 91 to 1382 of the family's 1533-position model. The record is from RNAcentral.